RNAcentral lists this ribosomal RNA (253 nucleotides) under uncultured bacterium. Its description in RNAcentral is "partial 16S ribosomal RNA". It matches the Rfam family "Bacterial small subunit ribosomal RNA", at positions 524 to 776 of the family's 1533-position model. The record is from RNAcentral.
UACAGAGGGUGCAAGCGUUGUUCGGAAUUAUUGGGCGUAAAGCGCGUGUAGGCGGCCAUGCAAGUCGGGUGUGAAAGCCCUCAGCUCAACUGAGGAAGUGCGCCCGAAACUGCACGGCUUGAGUACCGGAGAGGAUGGCGGAAUUCCCCAAGUAGAGGUGAAAUUCGUAGAUAUGGGGAGGAACACCGGUGGCGAAGGCGGCCAUCUGGCCGGAUACUGACGCUGAGACGCGAAAGCGUGGGUAGCAAACAGG